Molecule: ribosomal RNA, 347 nt
Filed under: uncultured Acidisphaera sp.
Lineage: Bacteria; Pseudomonadati; Pseudomonadota; Alphaproteobacteria; Acetobacterales; Acetobacteraceae
Description: bacterial SSU rRNA
Rfam family: Bacterial small subunit ribosomal RNA
Source: RNAcentral
GUGCCAGCCGCUGCGGUAAUACGAAGGGGCUAGCGUUGCUCGGAAUGACUGGGCGUAAAGGGCGCGUAGGCGGCGCGUACAGUCAGGCGUGAAAUUCCUGGGCUCAACCUGGGGCUGCGCUUGAUACGUGCGUGCUUGAGUGUGGAAGAGGGUCGUGGAAUUCCCAGUGUAGAGGUGAAAUUCGUAGAUAUUGGGAAGAACACCGGUGGCGAAGGCGGCGACCUGGUCCAUUACUGACGCUGAGGCGCGAAAGCGUGGGAGCAAACAGGAUUAGAUACCCUGGUAGUCCACGCCGUAAACGAUGUGCGCUGGAUGUUGGGCGCCUAGCCGUUCAGUGUCGCAGCUAA